UGGGUGGAUUAAAUUGCCCAAGAUGGCGAGUGGCUUGUUGUUUAGAGGGCAGACAAAUGGUGCACGUUGUAAUAAACAAAGGGAUACAUUUAAUAAACUCUGCUGGGCUGCAGUUGCUUGUCUUUAUACGAAGCCAUACAAAAAGAUAAGAGACAUCUGCAACAGGCUGAGCGGAGACCUUGUGACCUAGUCGGGGGAAUGCAAAAUAUUACAUUCAACAAACACUGUGAAAAUGUAGAUAGUUUAUAGUAUGUUCCUGGACAGUGAAUGGAGGGGAAACGUGAGCCUUCUUGAACAUGGGAAACGUGAGCCUUCGAGAACAUGGGAAACGUGAGCCUUCGAGAACAUGGGAAACGUGAGCCUUCGAGAACAUGGGAAACGUGUUCAUGCUCCACACUUCUGUCUACAGGCACCUUCGUUUGAAAAGGCAGGAGAGGGGGAUGAUAGUGAAUACUAAAGAACCGAGUUGAAAUGUAAUGAAAUAAUUGAGUUUGAAAAGAAACCUGGAUUUGACUGUGGUAAAACAUGAUACUUUGAGGAAAAUAAUGAUUUGGAUGAAAUAAUUGAUUUUCGGUAAGAAAUCACAUGAAUCACAGAGUAGAUUAAAUUAUUGGCAUCAGAAAUGUCUGAACGUGUGAAAUUCAGGGAAAUAUUUCAGGAGUGUUUUACAAGUUGGCAGAGCUUAUGAAAUAUUCACGAAAUUGCGAGUACAUGUACUA
Molecule: non-coding RNA, 719 nt
Organism: Oncorhynchus mykiss (rainbow trout)
Lineage: Eukaryota; Metazoa; Chordata; Actinopteri; Salmoniformes; Salmonidae
Source: RefSeq, a predicted model, not a curated record